This is a long non-coding RNA of Rhododendron vialii, 4154 nucleotides long. RefSeq lists it as uncharacterized. Lineage: Eukaryota; Viridiplantae; Streptophyta; Magnoliopsida; Ericales; Ericaceae. The transcript has 2 exons. The record is from RefSeq and is a predicted model, not a curated record.
CACCAUAAACCAGCUCCUUACUUUCAAUCAAGGUGGGUGAACAAAGCAAAAAAACAAAAAAACAAUAAAGGAAGAAGUGAAAUUAGAUAUUCCUAAAUGGUUUGUCUUAGGCUUCUUGUUGUAGUACUUUGUUACAGGCUUCCAGCAAUCUGGCUAAAUAAUCAUAGAAUGCAAAGGAAAAGUAUAUCGUGAAAUAAACUAGAAUGAAUUUAUUGCUUUAUGUCUAUGUAUCUUGUCAAUAAGCCACAUAUCCAAUUAUUUUCAUGAUGCUUGUAUUAAUUGGGAGGCUUGUAUAUUUUACUGAUUUAAGUGGGUCCAUCAAAGUGCAGGCGAUAUGCUGGGUAGACAACCAACAUGACUUUAUCAAGGGAAAUGGUGAAAAAUUAGAUUAUCUUUUGUCAAUAGAAAACCCAUAAAACGACGUGAUAAUGGAUGUCCAUAAAGGUCGAAUGUUGAGGUUAAUUUGUUAGAUAGAAUUUAAUAUUUGUUCCUUUUACUAUCAUAUUUUCCAUGUUUGGGAAGAAUGAAUAAAAUGGUCGAGUUCCAACACAUGUUAGUGGUAUUAGAUAAUACAUUGCUAUCUUUUCACGUUUAAACACCAUGAUUCUAGUCAAUUGAAUGUCUUCCUUUUUUACUGCAGCAAAAUUAAAUACAUUAAAGAUAAAUAACAAAAGGGUUGUUAACAACUAUCCAAUUCAUUGUUACUGAACAAUAUUAAAUAUAUAUUAAAGUUAAAUAACAAAAGGGUGGUUGUUACGAACUGUCCAAUUAUUGUUACUGAACAAGAUUAUAUAUAUUAAAGCUAAAUAACAAAAGGGUUGUUGAGAACUAUCCAAUUAAUUUUACUGAACAAAUGCCCCAGGGACAGUUGUUAACAAUAACCCUUCCGUUGUUUAGCUUUAAUAUAUUUAAUAUUGUUCAUUAACAAUCAAUUUGAUAUUUUUGUCCGCAUUUGGAGCUUUAAAUUAAUAGCGUUGGGAGUUAGUAGCUACGGUUUUUGAACAUAUUGGAGAAUACUUAAGGCAACUUACUAGAGAUUUCCUAUUUCCUGAUUUUACCCAUUAGAUGUAAAAGAAUGUAAUUGCUGCCUUUGCGUGUUCUCAUAGAAAUUCAAUAACAAUGUGAUAUAAUCAGCUUUAUACUCUUUGAAUAAUACAAAUUAAGGAUUGAAAUUUUAGACUAAUUUUUUUUCAUCAUAACUACAAUAAAUGCUAGUUGUUGGUGAACUAUCAUCUAAAUAGCUAUCUAAUGAUUAUUAAAAUUAAGAUACGGAUUCAAUUUGAUUCUCAAACUAUGACAGGGCGAAAAGGGUAUUUAUAGGUGGAAAAAGGAGAGGAGAACACGAAAUACAAUAGGAUGAGGUUAUGAUACCUAAGCUGUUUUUGUCUUCUUUCUUGAAAGGGUUGUGUGUAAUGCGUGACAGAGUCUCUCUUUUUCCGCAUCUCUCUCUUUGUGGAUUAAAAAGCUGUGCUUACUAUAUUGGUGAACAACUUUCGAACACUCAAUACAUCAUUAAUUGUAGCUUGGCAAAUGCCAGUGUGUGUGAAUAACAAAAGGGUGCUGCUAACAAGUGUUUAUGAGACAUUUUUUACAGUCCUUGGGGGAUUUAUUUAGCACCAGUUAAUGUAGUUGUUCAGCCAACAUUUAUUAUAGUUGUAAGUUGCAUUAAGUGUUGUUCAACAAAUUUUAUACGUUUAUUAUUAAACAAAUUGUUGAACCCAGGGACACUUAAUGGUUCUACUUAAACAACUUGUUUAAUGAUAGUUACUGGAAAAAAAAAUACUUGUUUAAUGAUUAAGGUCUACAAGUUGUUCAACCAACAUUGAAUGCAACUUACAACUCUUCUUCUAGGGUGCUAAUCUAACUAGUCUAACAAUACAGACUUUCGCCGAGAAAAAAAAAGAAGUUGUUGAAGCCAUUCAAAAAAAAAAAAAAAAAGUUGAACCCGUAACGUUCAUUGAAAGCUUCAUACAAAGAAGUUAUUUAAUUAUCAUGAGAAACAAGAUUACAAGUCAACAAUUUUUAGAUGUUUCAUAUAUCAUUAAUUGGAGCUCUACAAAUGCAGGUUUGUGCAAAUAAUUAAAGGUUGCUGCUAACAAUUGCUCAUGAGGUAUUUUUUUUUACAGACCCUAGGUUUGUCUAAAAGUUGUCCAACCAACACUUAAUGCAACUUACAACUCCUCCUCCAUGGUGCUAAUCUAACUAUUCUAAAAUACUGACUUUUGCCGAGCAAAAACAAAAGUUGUUGAAGUCGUUCAGAAAAAACAAAAGUUGUUGAACCCUUCACGUUCAUUAAAAGCUUCAUACCGCUAAACAAUUUUUGGAUGUUUCAUAUAUCAUUAAUGGAGCUUGACAAAUGCAGGUUUGUGCAAAUAAUUAAAGGGUGCUGCGAACAAUUGCUCAUGAGACAUUUUUUUACAGACCCUAGGAUAUACAUUAAGGAAAAUUGUUUUGUUAUUAUCUAUUAGUGAGGGUAUAACAGUAUACAAUUGAAUGGAUAUCCUUAUGAGAAACUAUUAGAAUGUCAUCACUCUUUACGUGUAAUUGAAAAUAAAUUAACCGUAACUAACUACAAUAUCAAUAUCUAACUUAGUUUAGAAACACCUAUUAUAAACACUUGAUUUGCUAUUGUUUAGGGGUAACUCAAGAUAUAACAGUUACGUUACUAAUUGUCCCCAAAGCUUAAGUUGUUAGGAAAUGAACCCAAUGAUUUAUAUCAACCUAUUUCAACGAUGCAACUAAAUGAUUAGGUUCUACCAAUCCUUGCAAGCGGAACCCAUCAAUUUGAGAUACAAUAAUGUCAUGAUAACUGUUGGAAAUUAUCCCACAUCGGUUAAUUAUCUCCUCCAAAACUAGUAUAUGAGCCUGGGCGGUCUCUCCAUUCAUGGCCAGUUGGUUUUGACAUGGACAAAGUUUCCACAUGGUAUCAGAGCGAUAUCCAUUCCAUCCCAAAUUUUAAAAAUUUACAAUCCACACCCCACGAUGACAUACCAGCACAAAGGCAGCACGAUGAUAGACCCAAAAAGAGGCUACACGUGACAGACCUCAAACGCGGUUGCACAUGAGGGGGGAUAUUAAGGAAAUAGAGUCCCACAUUGCUUGGGAGUGGAAUGAGUGAUCACUUUAUAACAUUUGGGACCUUUCCACUCAUUGCCCAACUGGUUUUGAAAUGGAUUUUUAGUUUCCACAAUAACCACACUUAUGCACCAUAAGUUGUGUUAUGUUAAUCCACAAAUGUACUCAGCAUAGCAUUCAUAGAGAGAGAGAGAGAGAGAGAGAGAGACCUCCUUCAAGGAAGAAGACAAAAAUAGCUCAAGAAUCCUAACCGCAGCCUCUUGUUCUUCGUGUUCUCUUCUCCUUUCUCCACCUAUAAAAGAGAGAGACCUCCUUCAAGGAAGAAGACAAAAAUAGCUCAAGAAUCCUAACCGCAGCCUCUUGUUCUUCGUGUUCUCUUCUCCUUUCUCCACCUAUAAAAACCCUUUCACCUUGCCAUAGUUUGUGAGUCAGAUUGCAUGCCACCCAGCUUUUGAACCACAUCAAGUUGUCCCCAUGAUUUAGGGUUGGUAUGUUGUAUGGCCCAUGUUUUUCCAGCGCUGUCUCCCCCAGCUCUUUUUGGGCUCCCUUGUACAAACCGCCUAUACGCCCUUCCUCUAUGUUCAUGUCAUGUCUGCUAUAACAUCAGUCAAUUGAUCCACCUUCAAACUAGAGCCCUCAGCUAUGCUGCUAAACUUGGAUGAUGAGCCCUCAUUUGUUGUUCGUAUUGCUGACUCAUCAUCCAAGCUUAGUGGCAUAGCUGAGAGCUCCAGUCUAAGGUUGGAUCAAUUGAGUGAUGUUCUAGGUGGGAUGAGAAUAGAGAAGAGGGGGAUAGGAGGUUUGUAUAAGGGAGCCAAAAGUAGAGUUGGUGGCUCCACCUCUAGAAAACCAUUGGCUACAUAGAAUUCCAUUCCCGAAUCAUGGGGACAUCCUGAUAACUUCAGAAGCUGGGUGGCAUGCAGCAGAGUAGUGGUGGAGAGGUUCUUCAGAGUAAUCAGUGAGUGAUUAUACCCAAGCUAUGUGGAGAUAUACUCUCUAAUAGAAGCAGCUGUAAUUUCAUGAUUUUCUAAUUUGUGUACUAGCUGUUUUAUAUAAGAUUUUAGUUGUUGCAAAUUGUGAGC